GACGAACGCUGGCGGCGUGCUUAACACAUGCAAGUCGAACGCUGAAGACCUGGCUUUUGUUGGGUUGGAUGAGUGGCGAACGGGUGAGUAACACGUGAGUAACCUGCCCUCUUCUUUGGGAUAACGCCCGGAAACGGGUGCUAAUACUGGAUAUUCACUGAUCUUCGCAUGGGGGUUGGUGGAAAGGUUUGUUCUGGUGGGGGAUGGGCUCGCUGCCUAUCAGCUUGUUGGUGGGGUUAUGGCCUACCAAGGCUUUGACGGGUAGCCGGCCUGAGAGGGUGACCGGUCACAUUGGGACUGAGAUACGGCCCAGACUCCUACGGGAGGCAGCAGUGGGGAAUAUUGCACAAUGGGCGAAAGCCUGAUGCAGCGACGCCGCGUGAGGGAUGGAGGCCUUCGGGUUGUAAACCUCUUUCGCUCAUGGUCAAGCCGCAACUGUGGGUUGUGGUGAGGGUAGUGGGUAAAGAAGCGCCGGCUAACUACGUG
RNAcentral lists this ribosomal RNA (486 nucleotides) under uncultured bacterium. Its description in RNAcentral is "partial 16S ribosomal RNA". It matches the Rfam family "Bacterial small subunit ribosomal RNA", at positions 28 to 507 of the family's 1533-position model. The record is from RNAcentral.